This is a long non-coding RNA of Oenanthe melanoleuca, 405 nucleotides long. RefSeq lists it as uncharacterized. The transcript has 3 exons. The record is from RefSeq and is a predicted model, not a curated record. Lineage: Eukaryota; Metazoa; Chordata; Aves; Passeriformes; Muscicapidae.
CUGUGCCGGCGGCACGCGCCCGCCAACUUCAGCCGGUUCUACUUCCCGUACCGCACGGCGCGCGGGCUGCUCUGCGUCACCAACUGCUCCCUCAACGUGCCCGGCGCCUUCGACUGCGGCCGCGGCCUCUGCCGCGUCACCCGCGACGGCCCCCGCUGCUUCUGCCCGGACGUGCCCCGGUACCUCUGGAGCGGCGACCGGUGCCAGAGCCGCGUCAGCGAGCUGGGGCUGGGGCUGGGCGUGGGGCUGGGGCUGGGGCUGCCCAUCCUCAUCCUCCUCGCGCUCUGCGCCUUCCUCGCCGCGCGCCUCGCCCGGCGGCGGGGAAAAACACCCGGGGCCAGCCCCACCAAGCCCGAUGACCCGUGGCCGGACGGGGGUCGCAGCGGCCGCGUCACCGGGAUCUAC